ACAUAAGUAACGAUAAAGCGGGUGAAAAGCCCGCUCGCCGGAAGACCAAGGGUUCCUGUCCAACGUUAAUCGGGGCAGGGUGAGUCGACCCCUAAGGCGAGGCCGAAAGGCGUAGUCGAUGGGAAACGGGUUAAUAUUCCCGUACUUGGUGUUACUGCGAAGGGGGGACGGAGAAGGCUAUGUUGGCCGGGCGACGGUUGUCCCGGUUUAAGCGUGUAGGUGUGUGUUCCAGGUAAAUCCGGUUCACUUUAACACUGAGGCGUGACGACGAGGCACUACGGUGCUGAAGCAACAAAUGCCCUGCUUCCAGGAAAAGCCUCUAAGCAUCAGGUAACAUCAAAUCGUACCCCAAACCGACACAGGUGGUCAGGUAGAGAAUACCAAGGCGCUUGA
Molecule: ribosomal RNA, 393 nt
Filed under: Salmonella enterica subsp. enterica serovar Paratyphi B var. L(+) tartrate +
Lineage: Bacteria; Pseudomonadati; Pseudomonadota; Gammaproteobacteria; Enterobacterales; Enterobacteriaceae
Description: partial 23S ribosomal RNA
Rfam family: Bacterial large subunit ribosomal RNA
Source: RNAcentral